Humulus lupulus (European hop) is the source of this 701-nucleotide long non-coding RNA. RefSeq lists it as uncharacterized. The record is from RefSeq and is a predicted model, not a curated record. The transcript has 4 exons. Lineage: Eukaryota; Viridiplantae; Streptophyta; Magnoliopsida; Rosales; Cannabaceae.
UGGUCACAUAUAUGGAAAAGGGUGGCUGGCCAUGUGCUAUUUUAGAGUGGUGUGAACCCAAUUUUAUAAAAUUCAAAUCCCAUUUAAUUAAGAAGUCAAGUGGGCAAGUGGGUAGAAAAGCACUCAAGUGUUUUGUGAUAUUUUGAAGAGUUGUGUGAGCCAUUCUAACCCCCAAAUCCAACCACUCUCCCUCCCUCAUUCACUCUCAUCUGAUUUUUGAAGACUCUCUCAAGUGUUCUCUCCAUUUUGAACCCCAAGAACACCAAAGAAACUUGGAAGCUAAGUCUUGGUCUAGGAAGGGUUUUCCCUAAGUUGGUUAGGGUUUUUGAAAGGUUUUGAAGGAGUCAAAGCUUAUAGGAAGGUCCAAACCUUAAGCAAGAACACCAAAGAGUAUUGGCUAAGCGUAACUGGACUGAACGUUGGAGGGUGAAAACCUGCUGAGCGCUAAGGACUCCAAGUAAGAACAAGGGCAAGGCAGAGCAGUGAGCGCUGGAGUCUUCCUUGCAAAUGUACAUGUGGACCGACCUUUUGGGAAGCCUUUUUAUUUUUGGAAAUGUUGUGUAAUUUUCCUAAACUAGGCUCACUCUAAUCUUUAUAAAACAUGUUUGUAACUAAAUGUUAAGUAUGGCCAUACGACUUUUUAAAAAGUUUUUUUUUCUAUGGGUUUUUGAGGCAUUUUGUUAAAUGAAAACAUUUAUAUU